This 451-nucleotide ribosomal RNA is filed under the name uncultured bacterium. Its description in RNAcentral is "partial 16S ribosomal RNA". It matches the Rfam family "Bacterial small subunit ribosomal RNA", at positions 29 to 523 of the family's 1533-position model. The record is from RNAcentral.
AGCGAACGCUGGCGGCAGGCUUAACACAUGCAAGUCGAGCGGGCAUAGCAAUAUGUCAGCGGCAGACGGGUGAGUAACGCGUGGGAACGUACCUUUUGGUUCGGAACAACCGAGGGAAACUUCAGCUAAUACCGGAGAAGCCCUUACGGGGAAAGAUUUAUCGCCGAAAGAUCGGCCCGCGUCUGAUUAGCUAGUUGGUGAGGUAAUGGCUCACCAAGGCGACGAUCAGUAGCUGGUCUGAGAGGAUGAUCAGCCACAUUGGGACUGAGACACGGCCCAAACUCCUACGGGAGGCAGCAGUGUGGAAUAUUGGACAAUGGGCGCAAGCCUGAUCCAGCCAUGCCGCGUGAGUGAUGAAGGCCCUAGGGUUGUAAAGCUCUUUUGUGCGGGAAGAUAAUGACGGUACCGCAAGAAUAAGCCCCGGUUAACUUCGUGCCAGCAGCCGCCGUAA